This 1156-nucleotide long non-coding RNA is filed under the name Lupinus angustifolius (narrow-leaved blue lupine). Its description in RNAcentral is "long non-coding RNA (LANG_LNC003360)". The record is from RNAcentral. Lineage: Eukaryota; Viridiplantae; Streptophyta; Magnoliopsida; Fabales; Fabaceae.
CCUUUAGUACCACUAUCCAAUUCUUAGAGGCUUAAACCAAGAUGUUUAAACUUCAGUGUCUUCUUCACGAGGUGGGUUGCCCGGGCCAGGUGGGAGUUGUGGAUUUGUAUGUGGUGGAUGUGGAUGUGGGUUUUCAUAAUCAAUUUCUGCUAGCAAUCUCUCUGAUUUCCCUAUUUAGAAAAAAGGUACAUUAAAAAUCAAAUAAAAAAUGAGAAUAAAAAUAAGUAUUUUUUUUUAUGUUUCUAAUCUUAAGAAGAAAAAUGUUCAUUACAAUUUUGAUACCAAUCAAACAAGAAGUUUUUUUGUUAACCAUGUAUUCUAUCAUCUCAAAGUAUUACUUUAGGUGAUUGAUAUAUAGAAUUUGAUCUUAUCAAUAUGUGGGGAUUCAAGCUUGACCAAAUCCUUAUUAAUAGAAAAUGAUUAUUUUAUCUUGGAGCAUGAUUGUGAAAAUAGAAGUUGGCCAUGAUUAUUUACAUGAUUAAAAUUUUGUUUUUUAACCUUAUACGAUAUUCAAAGAUCCAUUAGAUACUUGUAUUCACAACACUAAAUCUUUACUCGUAGUCAUUAAAAUUAACACAACAUAAUUAGUUACAUUGUCAAAUGAAGCUAGAAUGGAAAAUAGAAGUAAUAUCUUAAAAUUAAUGGAAAACAUAAAUAAUUAGUUUUUCUAUUUUCUGAUUUUUUCAGUGUAUGGAGUAAAAUUUCUAAAAUCUUCUUCAGUUUUUAUGAAGUCGAGCAAGGUUAUUAUUUUCUUUUUUAUUCCAUCAUUUUUUCCCUGCAUUUGUUAAAUUAAUAAAAACAAUGUAACUACCUGAAAGGUUUGAAGCACUACUUGGAUCAUGGUAAAUAGGGAGUGAAUUAGAUGUCUGUUGGAGGGCUCUUGCAUGCUCUACCGUUGCUAAAUCCCCUAUUGCACAAAACGAAAAACAUGUGCAUUAUUAAUUUUAACCAAUAUUUAUGUUAUUUUGAAUAUUUUAUCACCAAGAAAAAAAAAUUUAUGGUGGUGAUUUUAGGCAAUAAUCUAUUCUCAAUUAUUAAUUGCACUAAACUUGUAAAAUUUCAAGUAAUCAAAGCAAGUAUACCCGUAGGAAUGCAAUGUGAAAAACAAGUCAUGGCAAACACUAACAUGAAACAAAGAUAAAAAGAUGGAGAAGUC